UCUCGAGGUCACUGGUGGCGCGGAGGAGGAGGAGGUCGGUGCUCUCUUCUCGAGGACGAUGGCAGCGCUGAGGAGGACCUCGGCGCAUCCUCCUCUCCCUCCCGAGUCGGCGCGAAUAUGGGAGGAGACAACGUCGGCCGGGAUGCAUCGUUCCCAACGGCGAGUCCUCUCUUUCCCUCUCUCUGUGGGAUGCGGCGUCGACCAUGAAGUCCGGCACGAGAGAGAGCCGGGCCUCCGCCUUCUCCGCCACAGCUCCUCACCGAGAUGGUGUCCCCCGAUCCUGCCGGUUGGUCCGUCUUCUCCGCGCUCGAUGUCCAGCAGCCUCCCGCCUGCUCCAGAUCUGCGGCACCGGCGACUGAUUCACACACGCUGCCAAUCCUAAUUCGCCGAUUGGACCACUGGAAAUAUCAGGGUCGUCCUCGGCGGCGGCGUACCCGUGAAGCCAACCUUCGUGACCCGGCAUCCUCCUCGCCAUCAGCCCUUCCGAGAUGUAGUGGCAUGAUCCACGGCGCCUUGCUGGGCGCGGCCUUACGCGAUGAAGGUUUCCGUCGGCACGGCCGCGUUGCUGCUCUCUCCAGGUUAAGGUUCGAGACAGACAGAGCACGCAGUCGUUGAUGGAGGCAUUGUGGGUGCUGAUGUGGCACUAAGAUGGCGGAGGACAGACAUAGGAGACCAUGAGAACUUCGUGCACGAGCUUGUUGGCUUUUCGGGCGACCACCACAGCGGGCAACCCGGCGGCCAGACUUCUUGCUCACUUCUUUUGACAUGUCAUGUUGUCGGAUGGUGUCUCAAUUGGUAUGAUUGUCUAACAUCUAGCUGAAUUUAGAUGGAAAUUAAAUUAAUAUGUUUCCGUUGAUCUUUUUAUGUGCUGGAUAAAUAAUCAUGAUUGGGAUGAUGUGUCAGGUACAAAAUAAUCUGUGAGAACUGGCAGAUCAAAUUGCAGAGAGACUAAGGUUGUGAACAUGACAGUGGUCAUUGCUACCAUGCUUCCGCUGAUCUUUUUAUGUGCUGAUUAAGUAAAUAUUGGCACCGUUGUAUUGGCCGGCGAGCCAUUAACAACUAAGCUAACAAGUGGCAUAGUUGAUUAUUUUGUAGUACUUCCAAUUAUAGUUUUUGUCCAAGUUGAAGUUUGAGAUGCGCUUCUAUGUAUGUUAGAUCAGUUCCAUAUUGAUAUUGAAGGAAAAGAGGGAUUCAAGGAAUGUGCCAACAUAAGCUUUCAGGUGCUGCCUAAGUCGUUCAGAAAAUUGAUUUUAUGAUGUAAGAUUUCUCAUGCUCAUUGCUUAACAUUGGCACUAUUAUUUCCUGUGUUCGCAGUCUUUUUCGAGAACCCGCAACUUCCAAUGAUUAUUGUUGAACAGACAUGCCAUAUAUUUGUAGGCUGAUACUUAUGUAAUGCAAAAUGGAAGUAGACUAGGCAAGCAGAAAGUUUGAUUUUGUUCGACAGCUUCUCUUCUGUUCCUCAUAUACAACGGAGUUUUUCCAAAUCAUGCAGAUAGUUUGUUUUCUAUUAAGAAGCUAAUAGCCUAUAGGAGAUGGUGCAUUCCCACGGAAGCUUCUCUUAUGUUCCACAUAUAUAACAGAGUUUUUCCUAAACCUAAAUCAUGCAGAUAGAUUGUUUUCUAUUAAGAAGCUAAUAGCCUUUAGGAGAUGGUACAUUCUCACUACCUACUUUAUCCAGGAUGAAAGUUCGAGGCUUAUAUAUUAUGUAAAGAUCAACAUGUAUAUUGAAAUGCAUGUAUUAUCUUUGAUUUCAAGGCCAUCAUUUUUUACUAUUGAUUGUACUACUUCAAAUCUGCGAUGCAUUGAUCCAUUUUAAGUUCAAAAUUGGGCACUAUCUUAGAAUGCACUGAGGAAAAUAGGGCCUAUAAUAUAACAACUGUAGGAUUCGCAUGGUCUUUAUAUAACCAAGAUGCGCACGUUUUUUUUUCUUGCCCUUGUGAGUACAAAACUGGGAAAGAUUCGAGAUCUUGCUGGGCAAGUGGCCGGUUGACAACAUAUCUGAUGGUAUCGGUUAUGAUCCUUUUUUAUGUGCCAUCGCAUUAUUCUUGCUGUUAUUUUCUUGACUUCAGUUUAGCUUUGUGCCUCACUUGCUGCUUCUCUAGGUUAUGCAUCGAAGUUUAUAUGACUUGGACUUCAUUGUUUCUGACCAUGAGGUACUCCUCCACAAAUCCACACAUAUACACUCUUUCUGCAUAAAUUCCUUGAAUUAUCAGAAAUAAUUUUGGCCCUUUUCCAAAAAAAAAUGUACCACAAUCCACAUUUUCUAUACGAUUAUCACAGAAAAAUUUGAAAUAAACGUUCACCACCAUGAAGAUAAUUCAAGAUUUUGAUUUAGCAAAUCUUUCGAUUUCCUGCACCACACACCAUUCAGAUACUGGUUCUAAGAAUUUUUGUGUAUGUAAGAAGUGAGAACUUAGGAGGUAAGGCAUUGUAAUAUGGAAGACUAUGAUGGUAU
Molecule: non-coding RNA, 2455 nt
Organism: Lolium perenne
Lineage: Eukaryota; Viridiplantae; Streptophyta; Magnoliopsida; Poales; Poaceae
Source: RefSeq, a predicted model, not a curated record